This 223-nucleotide ribosomal RNA is filed under the name uncultured bacterium. RNAcentral describes it as "partial 16S ribosomal RNA". It matches the Rfam family "Bacterial small subunit ribosomal RNA", at positions 116 to 334 of the family's 1533-position model. The record is from RNAcentral.
CGUAGGUAACCUGCCUGGUAGCGGGGGAUAACUAUUGGGAACGAUAGCUAAUACCGCAUAACAUUGACUAUUGCAUGAUAGUCAAUUGAAAGGUGCAAAUGCACCACUACCAGAUGGACCUGCGUUGUAUUAGCUAGUUGGUGGGGUAACGGCUCACCAAGGCGACGAUACAUAGCCGACCUGAGAGGGUGAUCGGCCACACUGGGACUGAGACACGGCCCAG